UUUCGACUCAGAAGAUGAGAAAUCCUUAACAUCUUCAAUCAAAAUGGUGGAUUUGGUAGAUGACACCACAACUGUCACAAUUACCAAAACCAGAAAGAAAAAAGAAGAAUUGUUUUGCAGCAAAGCAAAGACAAAGAUGAACAAGGGUGAUUCCUUGUAAAGUAAAGAUAAAAAUAAACAAGGGUGAUCCCCUGCAAAGCCAAGACAAGAAAAGAAAAAACAAUGAUCAACAG
RNAcentral lists this long non-coding RNA (233 nucleotides) under Gossypium raimondii (Peruvian cotton). RNAcentral's name for it is "long non-coding RNA (GRAI_LNC009704)". The record is from RNAcentral. Lineage: Eukaryota; Viridiplantae; Streptophyta; Magnoliopsida; Malvales; Malvaceae.